UACAUAGGGCGCAAGCGUUAUUCGGAUUUAUUGGGCGUAAAGCAAGCGCAGGCGGACGAGUAAGUCCUGUGUUAAAAACAGCAGCUCAACUGUUGUUUGCGCCGAAUACUGCUCGUCUAGAAUACGGUAGAAAGUUUCGGAAUUGAAUAUGGAGCGGUGAAAUGUGUAGAUAUAUUCAAGAACACCAGAGGCGAAGGCGGAACCUUAGGCCGCUAUUGACGCUUAGGCUUGAAAGUGUGGGUAGCAAAUG
Molecule: ribosomal RNA, 250 nt
Filed under: uncultured Mycoplasma sp.
Lineage: Bacteria; Bacillati; Mycoplasmatota; Mollicutes; Mycoplasmatales; Mycoplasmataceae
Description: partial 16S ribosomal RNA
Rfam family: Bacterial small subunit ribosomal RNA
Source: RNAcentral